AACAGAGUGGAGGCUGAAUUCCAGCCUCUGUUAGCUAUGCGCUCAUCACUUCCGGGGUCACGGGACUGGAACCGCUGAGCACAGCUUCUGAGAGGUGGCCAUGUUGCUUCUAGACCCCACGUCUCAGAAAGCAGAGAACUCUCCAUGCUAAAUUCACAGAACAGUGUGCUGAGGAUGGAUUACAAGGUGAGCGCUGGGCCAUCUUCAUCGCCACAUCUGUCCGUGACCAGCCUGGACCGAGCAGACUGAAGGAUAAGGGCUUUCUUGUUUCUAACAUUCUCGUGUCCUUGUUGGUAGGCGGGCCGCCUUUUUUCAUGGAGAGCUGAGCUUGGGUCACUGUCCACCUUCAUCUCAAGCUUCUAGGACCACCAAAGGUGCCACCGGUCAGCACCAGCAUCUCAACCACAUCCUGUUCAGGGCUCUGCGGUGAGACAGUUCCCUGGUUCGGAAGCAGUCCUCAACUCAGUUCUGCUGCCAGCACGAGCGUCAAGCGAGCGUCAUCGACUGCCAAGUCUUUGGCACCCCUGUAAUGCCGGCACUGUCCUGAUCGCUUUUCCAGAAAGCAAUCAACAAGUCUAGAGUCAUAAAUUUUUUUUUAACCUUUACUUCCUGUGGGAGCUGUCAUGUGCCACGGCCCUGAGUGUGGAGGUCAGAGGGCAAUUCGUGGGAGUUAAGGUGCUUUUGUUCUGUUUUGUUUUGUUUUUGGUGAGUCCCAUGGGAUUGAACUCAGGCUUUCAAACUUGGCUUCUAACACCUUGACAACUAAGCCAUCGCAUCAGCCCCCAGAGCUAAGAAAUUUAAAGCAGCUUCUUCCUUGCAAGUGAUAGGCUCUAGGCUAAGACCAUUCUCUUAGUGGAGUCAUCCUUGCCUCUGCUACACAGGCUUCUCCAUGACUACACCUGUAAGGUUUAUCAUGAGAGUCUGUGCUCGGGGUUGACCCACGGUACAAUUUUUCUUUCUGUGUCAAUUGGUUCUCCUUUGGAGAGCUGAUUUACCAACCUCCAGCAAGCUGCCUGUUCCUUUAGCCCAGCCUAAAAAGACUCUUGAAUAAGGCUAACCCUGGCCAGGCUGGCCUGGCCUUGCCCUUGACCUGGUCUGAACUUCCCAGCACUUUGGACCAGAACAGCCCCAGUCAUGCUCAAGUUCCUAAGGUCACAAGAAGAGAGUCACAAGCACAGAGCCGGGGAGGUCUUCCUUACUUGCUAUGUGUGAGUUUGUAUUCUCUCCUGGCUCGUACACCAUUAGCUUGCAAAGCUGUGUGAACAGAGAUCACGAAGCCUAGAGACCAAUUACAGGACCCUAACACCCUUCCCACCAACCCCAGCAGCAUUUCCUUGGAAGAUUCAUCAAAUUAAGCCCAGAGCUGCACUCUGGCUCCAUAUAGAACCGCUGUGGAACAAGAAUGAUUCACCAAACAACUUCUGCCUUUCUGUUUCGGGGGCUUCAUUUAACUGUUUUAUGUCUCAGAGUAAAGCUGUUAUAAUGACA
Rattus norvegicus (Norway rat) is the source of this 1488-nucleotide non-coding RNA. The record is from RefSeq and is a predicted model, not a curated record. Lineage: Eukaryota; Metazoa; Chordata; Mammalia; Rodentia; Muridae.